This 1156-nucleotide long non-coding RNA is filed under the name Phasianus colchicus (ring-necked pheasant). RNAcentral describes it as "lncRNA (ENSPCLG00000002794.1)". Lineage: Eukaryota; Metazoa; Chordata; Aves; Galliformes; Phasianidae. The record is from RNAcentral.
GGGAAGGCCAUUUCCCAAAGAUCUCACAGCAGAAACCAGGACCACCGGUGAGGAGGUGAGGAGGGAAUGAUAGCAGAAGACAUCAUGUUAGGUCCGCGCUAUUGUGUUUUGGAAAGGUGGUAACAUAAGAGAGAGAUAAGAUAUAAAGAGAGAAAAAGAAAGAAGAAAAGGUGCAUUGGAGGUGGAGGCACGGAGUAAGAGGACCAGAUGUGGAGCAGAGCAAAGUCGUGUAGCAGUGGGCAUGGAGUACAAAGGAGGCAAUCGCAGACCUGCAUCUGGUGGCCCCCAGGGAGGUGGUGGUGGUGUACUUUGAAGCUACCAAAGGCAAACAACAGCGGGGGAACCUUGCCAGCUGCUCAAGCAGCAGCGGUUGCAGUUGUCACGUUGCUCUCCCCAGGACACUGAGUCAGGAUGAGGUAGGUAUCAAAGGGGCAGAGUCAGGUCCCCCUCCUCGCUUCUCAGCUCACAUGUGGAGCGCUGGUAAGGCCUAAAGGUGGGCGGCGCGGUUGACUACUGGGGGCUGGCCUAGCAUUCAGCAUUGGAAAGGCAGCCAAAAACAGCAGGCUGGGGGAAGGGUUUGGAAAAGGAGGCACAUCUUCAGCUGACUGUCUGCUUGCAAGGCAAAAUCAAACUGUUUUAAAUCACAGCAUUUAACAGAAAGUGAAUGAUCUUAGUAAGACACCAGGCACAGAUUUUAGUCUUUGGAGCAAGGAUGCACUUUCUAGGUGUAGUACUGCAAGGUCAAUCGGAAAUCUUAUUAAAAAGCCAAGUCUGAUAAAAGGUAGUAAAAAUGUUGUGAUAGAACAUGUCUUUUAAUGGCCCAUCAAAAUAUUAGCAUUCAGUAUUACAACAUUAGCCUUUUACAAAGGAAUGUCCUAUUGUUUCUGGAGAAGAUCUGGAAGCUCUCUCUGAAUUGGGCUGAGAUUUAAUAAUGAAGGUAAUGCUGCUUCUUAGGUCACAGUGUGGCCACUGCAGUGAAAAGCUGUUGGUUAAGAAAGGAGGAGGUUGUCUGACUGCUGCAAGAAGGUCUGACCACGCACUACUCACUUGAUGACUAGUGUAUUAAUAUCUCCCUCCCAGAAAAUAGCCCCUGCUUUGUUGCAGGGCUGUCCUUCAUUAGCAUUGCAGUAAUGAAAAGUAUGAUUGAUACUGUGUG